UCUCUCUCCUCUCUCUCCGGUGCCCUUUGCCGCCCAGGCAGCCUACAAGGAUUCACUUUCACUUAUUACUCAUCACACUGACUCUGGAUUACAGCGGGGAGGAGAGGAAAAGCUGAGGGGGAAAUGACAGUGAAGGAAAAGAGCAAAAAGCAGGGCAACACGUUUAACCAUGUCCACUCGAAGCGUUCCCAGGAGCACUUUUAGCCAGCUGUGUCUCUCCGCAUUCCCAGCUAAACUCUUAGAAGGCAGUAUAAGAAAUGUGUAUCCAGCCCAGACCCUGAGGCCUGCGCAUCAAGAUGGAAGGCUGGCCAACGGUCCUCUGGGGACAGCAGUGCCAGAGGAGGAUUGGACACAGUGACCCAUCUGCAUGAGAUGAGGGGGGGAAGAAAACAACAACAACCAGGAGCUCUGUAAUACUGAUGAACUAAUCUGUCACUCACAAGCUCAAGGUCUGCGAAAAAGAAAAACUGCGGUAAACAUUUAAAACCAUGAGAGGUGGCAAUGCGAGUCUCCAUUUAUAAACGUAUUUAAACCAAUGGCUCAGAACCUACUUAACGGGUUAGUUCGCGUUGAUCUGAAAAGUCAUCUGGAGACAACAAUCUACCCUAUAGUUCCAAGGCUUAGGAAGUGUGCCCCAGAUAACUAUCAAAAAUCCAGAUGAUUUCCAAGAACUGUAUGAAUGAACCAAGUUUCUUGAUCUUGAUAUCCUAGGCAGGGAAUUUGUUCUUAAGUACUAGACUGCUUAAUUGCUUGCUUGGGGGAGAGAAAGUCCUGGGGGAAAGACAUUUAUGAGCAAUAUCUCCUCCAUGGAGGAGUACAUUCUCUCGAGCUGAAUCAUGGCCAGCAACACAGAGAAGUCUACUCUUUUCUCCAGGAGAAGCAACUGGAUAUUUGAUCUUAGAGAUGAAUGAAAAACCAAACUAAAGAUCACAUUUCAUGAGAAUCUUUCAGUAUUCUGAAUGGAAAAUAGCACUGACAAUUGGCUAUUUGCUCCUCCAACCCAAAUCCACUUAGGAACUGAAUUAAGAAUGGCGGGGUUGGGGGAGGGUUGAGGGGGAGAGAAAUAAUUUUUAUUGCAAUAUGUAUUUGAGGAGGAACUAACAUUUGCAUUAUCAGACAGGACUGUUCGCAUCUGCUGAGUAAGAAAGGAGGAUACGAGAUCCACACCUUAAAGGAAACACUUCUUUUUGAUUAUGAGUGCCUGAAAAGCAGUAAAAAAUUAUUUUCACAUUCUUGUUAUUGUUAGAGGUUGUCAUCGGAGUAAAUAUUUUUAUCCGUGCUAGAACAAUUAAAAGGAAAUCAUUUCAAAAAUCUAUGCCCUCUUCAUUUUUACAUCUCUAGUUGC
Molecule: long non-coding RNA, 1345 nt
Organism: Suricata suricatta (meerkat)
Lineage: Eukaryota; Metazoa; Chordata; Mammalia; Carnivora; Herpestidae
Exons: 3
Source: RefSeq, a predicted model, not a curated record